ACUGCGGCUAAGAUGGCGGCGACGGCCAGGCGGGGCUGGGGAGCUGCGGCUGUUGCCGCCGGGCUGCGCAGGCGGUUCUGUCAUAUGUUGAAGAAUCCAUACACCAUUAAGAAACAGCCUCUGCAUCAGUUUGUACAAAGACCACUUUUCCCACUACCUGCAGCCUUUUAUAACCCAGGCAGUUAUUUAGGAUUGAAGGAGUAAAAAGUGUCUUCUUUGGACCAGAUUUCAUCACUGUCACAAAGGAAAAUGAAGAAUUAGACUGGAAUUUACUGAAACCAGAUAUUUAUGCAACAAUCAUGGACUUCUUUGCAUCUGGCUUACCCCUGGUUACUGAGGAAACACCUUCAGGAGAAGCAGGAUCUGAAGAAGAUGAUGAAGUUGUGGCAAUGAUUAAGGAAUUGUUAGAUACUAGAAUACGGUUAUGGAUGAUGAAUCAGAUGAAAAAGAAGCAAACUCACCUUAAAAUAAUCUGGAUUUUCUUUGGGCAUAACAGUCAGACUUGUUGAUAAUAUAUAUCAAGUUUUUAUUAUUAAUAUGCUGAGGAACUUGAAGAUUAAUAAAAUAUGCUCUUCAGAGAAUGAUAUAUAAAUAUUG
Molecule: small RNA, 597 nt
Filed under: Pan troglodytes (chimpanzee)
Lineage: Eukaryota; Metazoa; Chordata; Mammalia; Primates; Hominidae
Description: processed transcript
Source: RNAcentral